ACCAAGGCCGCAUCACUCCCAAAUCCUCACCUCUGCCCUCAGGUUCCAUGGAGACUCCUUCCUCCGGCCCGCGCUGGAGGCAACCGCGACAGGGGAAGGAGCCGGAGGUCCGCCGCUCGGGUCCCCCAAGAGGCCGGGAACGCACGCGUGGGCAGCCUGGCGCCCCCACCCGGGGGUCCUCCCGCCACCCUCCUCCCGGACACUCAGAUUAAAAGGGGAUGCGUUCAGCCCUCCUCUACCCUGGGUUCGACCUCCAGCCACACACUGAGGAAGCCGAGCCCGACGACAAAGGCAUCUAACAGCCGGCGGGGACGCCUAGCGCCGGCCAACCAUGAGGCCGAACUACCACUCCCAGAAUCCUCCGCGGGGCGCGGCUGACGGCCCUCACUCCCAACACCGCUUCCCAGAGGACCCUGCGGCCACCUGCUCCCGGGGCUGCGUUUCUUGCCGCGGCACGCUCCUGACCGACCUGGAGGAGCGCUGACCAGCUGGCUGAACCCUGCCAGCGACUCUGGAAGGGCCGCUCCUCCCUCGGUGCCGACUCUGGGCGGUGGCCGCGCCAAACCCCGCCCGGCGUGGGACUUUUCGCAUCUCCGCUACUGUGAGGGCGGAAGGCGGCGCCCUUGACCUACGCAGGAUCCUUCCCGGGCUGCGGUGCUCCAUCGGAGGGGAGGCGCCCGGCGGUGUCCUCGCUGCUGCGCCUCCAUGCAUCGGCCCUUCGUGGCCAACACAGAGGUGAUCUCAGUUUACUUUAACCAGGGAUGUUUGUACCAUAUUGCACCUCGGAAUAAAGAAAAAUGGAAUUUCAAUCCCGAAAUCACUUCAACCCCAAAAACGGCCACGUCUCCAAGAAGAACCAGUAAACUAGUCUUGCUGCCCCAAGGAGGCUGGAGCCUGGAGGUCUUGCUGAAAUCCCUAACCUUGUUUUUACUCUAACUCGUUACUUUGAAUUUUAUCCUGCUUGUCUCUUUAAUCACCUAGCCUUGCUUCUCAUGUAAAUAAGACUCUCUCUAGCUGGGAAAGCCGGACAAACUCCAGUUGACCCCUUAAUUUACAAGACACUAAGGGCUCCUUACCCAACCCCCUUCCGCAAGGAGUUGACCUGUGUAAGCAGAUCCUCAGCAUUUCAAAGGAGCCCAAUUAAUUGAUAAGGUAUUAGCACCAACAAUGUAUGAAGUUCCCAGGAUUUUUCUCAAAGAGAAAACAUAAAGCCUUGAGUUCGUGUCCGGCAUACCCCGUAUAUCUAAUUAUAAUGAAAGAUUUAAAGCCUUGCACCUGGUACCGUUGCUCUUCUUGUAACCGUUUGUCUUUUAAAUUGUUUAUCACUUUGUAACCAUUUGUUUUUUGAUUUUGGCAUGUUUUUACUUCUGUAGAAUUAUUGCAUUUGAGUUCCCCUCCCCUUCCUAAACCUAGAUAUAAAAGUUAAUCAACUCCCUUCCUCGGGGCCGAAAGAAUUUUGAGCUUUAGCCGUCUCUUUGGCCGCCGGCUUAAUAAAGGACUCUUAAUUCGUGUCAAAGUAUGGCGUUUUUCUCCAACUCGCCUGGG
RNAcentral lists this long non-coding RNA (1545 nucleotides) under Homo sapiens (human). RNAcentral's name for it is "HSALNT0035783". The record is from RNAcentral. Lineage: Eukaryota; Metazoa; Chordata; Mammalia; Primates; Hominidae.